Long non-coding RNA from Mesocricetus auratus (golden hamster), 417 nucleotides. RefSeq lists it as uncharacterized. NCBI's taxonomy places the organism in Eukaryota, Metazoa, Chordata, Mammalia, Rodentia, Cricetidae. The transcript has 3 exons. The record is from RefSeq and is a predicted model, not a curated record.
GCAACUCAGCCUGCAGGGGCCACAUUACAACAAAACCACCCCCACCGCCUUGUGAGAUGAGAAAGCUGACUCUCUCCAUCUAUCUUCAUCCUGCUGGUUGGAUGCAAAUUGCUUCCUCCCACUGAGGCGAAAGAAUACUGCUCUUGGCAUAGGUUUUACAGACGGGGAUUCCAGGUCGCUGUUUCUCUUGACCUUGCAUGGGGCAGGAAGCACCAAGGAGGACCGGAAGUAACCAGAAGCAGGCUACUAGGCCACUGGGCAGGCUGCAAAAUAUUAAGAGAGAGGGAGACCAGAGUUCAUUUCUUAGCUACUGCUUGGGUGUCUACCUGCACGCUGCCAUGCUUCCUGCCAUGAUAAUAAUGGACUCAACCUCAGAGACUAUAAGCAAGCCCCCAUUAAAUCUCUUUCUUAUAAUAA